AUACAUCGUAGUGUAUAACUCUGAGUACGCUUUUUGUGCAUACGUACUCUUACACGUUUUUUUUUGCGUACUUUUUUUUAUUUGUUGGAAAAUUAAUAAAUGUACCCACAGAAAGCAAGGGCAAAAAGGAGGAUGUUAAGGGAACCAAGGAAGUGGAAUGACGAUCUUGUCAGUAAAAUGCUUGACUAUGUAGAAGAGAAAGGAAAUUUUGAAAUGCCGACUGC
Teleopsis dalmanni is the source of this 224-nucleotide long non-coding RNA. RefSeq lists it as uncharacterized. The record is from RefSeq and is a predicted model, not a curated record. The transcript has 3 exons. NCBI's taxonomy places the organism in Eukaryota, Metazoa, Arthropoda, Insecta, Diptera, Diopsidae.